CCCUUUUACCCACUUAGGAGUAAGGAGCUGAUAUCAGGCACAAAAUUGCCCAAAACAUCUAGCCACGCCACACCCAUAAGGGUACACAGCAGUGAUUAACAUUAAAUAUAAACGUCAGUUUGAUUUAGCCAAUGAAAAUAGAGCCGGCAAAUCUGGUGCCAGCCGCCGCGGUUACACCAUAUGGCUCAAAUUGAUCUCAAUACGGCGUAAAGCGUGAUUAAAGAAAUACAGACUACUGGGGUCAAACUUUAACUAAGCCGUGACACGCUUGUUCUUAAGAAGCCCUAUCUCGAAAGAUACCCCAACCCACCAACUUGAAUUCACAACAGCUAGGACACAAACUGGGAUUAGAUACCCCACUAUGCCUAAUCGUAAACUUUAACUUACACCACAUCGCCAGGGAACUACGAGCAAAGCUUAAAACCCAAAGGACUUGACGGUACCCCACAUCCCCCUAGAGGAGCCUGUCCUAUAACCGAUACUCCACGUUCAACCUCACCAUUUUUGGCUAAUCAGUCUGUAUACUUCCGUCGUCAGCUCACCGCGUGAGCGAAUAGUAAGCUCAAUGUCAUACACCAAUACGCCAGGUCAAAGUGCAACAAAUAAAAUGGCAAGAGAUGGGCUACACUCUCUACCCUAGAACAUACGAAAGAUUAUGCGCAACCAUAUUCAGAAGGCGGAUUUAGCAGUAAGAAGAGAAUAGAAUACUCCUCUUAACUCGGCACCGGGGCAUGUACACACCGCCCGUCACCCUCUUCAACAACCUACUCUAGUACUUAACAACCUACCCCUAAUAGAAGAGGUAAGUCGUAACAUGGUAAGUAUACC
Molecule: ribosomal RNA, 828 nt
Filed under: Pristimantis venegasi
Lineage: Eukaryota; Metazoa; Chordata; Amphibia; Anura; Strabomantidae
Description: Pristimantis sp. v JAO-2022 partial small subunit ribosomal RNA
Rfam family: Bacterial small subunit ribosomal RNA
Source: RNAcentral